GAGAGAUAACACAAGAACUGCUAAUUCCUGUACCUGAGACUAAACCCUCAGAUCUCUCA
Molecule: transfer RNA, 59 nt
Filed under: Gerrhonotus parvus
Lineage: Eukaryota; Metazoa; Chordata; Lepidosauria; Squamata; Anguidae
Also listed under: 1 other name
Description: tRNA-Ser
Source: RNAcentral